RNAcentral lists this ribosomal RNA (273 nucleotides) under Triticum aestivum (bread wheat). RNAcentral describes it as "partial small subunit ribosomal RNA". Lineage: Eukaryota; Viridiplantae; Streptophyta; Magnoliopsida; Poales; Poaceae. The record is from RNAcentral.
AUGACAAUCAACAAGGCGCAAGGGCAGACCAUCCCGAUUGUCGGAGUGUACCCGGACCCUAUAUUUUCUCACGGUCAGCUAUACGUCGCAUUGUCUAGAGCCACUGCGAAGAGGAACAUUAAGAUUCUCGCCAUCAAGGACAACGACAAUGGUAAGGGCAAGGGUAAGGUCAAGGGCAAGGAACAAAUCAAUAAUUCAAAUAAGCGAAAAAGAUCUGAGCCCUUAUUAACGACCAUGAAGAACAUAGUCUACAAGGAAGUCCUUAGCACAUGA